RNAcentral lists this ribosomal RNA (395 nucleotides) under uncultured bacterium. RNAcentral describes it as "partial 16S ribosomal RNA". It matches the Rfam family "Bacterial small subunit ribosomal RNA", at positions 355 to 742 of the family's 1533-position model. The record is from RNAcentral.
UGGGGAAUAUUGCACAAUGGGCGCAAGCCUGAUGCAGCCAUGCCGCGUGUGUGAAGAAGGCCUUCGGGUUGUAAAGCACUUUCAGCGAGGAGGAAGGGUUCAGUGUUAAUAGCACUGUUCAUUGACGUUACUCGCAGAAGAAGCACCGGCUAACUCCGUGCCAGCAGCCGCGGUAAUACGGAGGGUGCAAGCGUUAAUCGGAAUUACUGGGCGUAAAGCGCACGCAGGCGGUUUGUUAAGUCAGAUGUGAAAUCCCCGCGCUUAACGUGGGAACUGCAUUUGAAACUGGCAAGCUAGAGUCUUGUAGAGGGGGGUAGAAUUCCAGGUGUAGCGGUGAAAUGCGUAGAGAUCUGGAGGAAUACCGGUGGCGAAGGCGGCCCCCUGGACAAAGACUG